AAAGAAAUACAUGACCAAAGAGAUCAACAGAUCAAUAUAUCAGCUAGAGAUCAAUACAUCCUAAUAUCAGCCAGAGAUCAAUACAUCCCAAUAUCAGCCAGAGAUCAAUAUAUCCCAAUAUCAGCUAGAGAUCAAUACAUCCCAAUAUCAGCUAGAGAUCAAUACAUCCCAAUAUCAGCCAGAGAUCAACACAUCCCAAUAUCAGCCAGAGAUCAAUACAUCCCAAUAUCAGCUAGAGAUCAAUACAUCCCAAUAUCAGCUAGAGGUCAAUACAUCCCAAUAUCAGCCAGAGAUCAACACAUCCCAAUAUCAGCCAGAGAUCAAUACAUCCCAAUAUCAGCUAGAGAUCAAUACAUCCCAAUAUCAGCUAGAGAUCAAUACAUCCCAAUAUCAGCUAGAGAUCAACACAUCCUAAUAUCAGCCAGAGAUCAACACAUCAAUAUAUCAGCCUUAGAUCAACACAUCCUAAUAUCAGCCAGAGAUCAACACAUCCCAAUAUCAGCCAGAGAUCAACACAUCCCAAUAUCAGCUAGAGAUCAAUAUAUCCCAAUAUCAGCCAGAGAUCAACACAUCCUAAUAUCAGCCAGAGAUCAACACAUCCCAAUAUCAGCCAGAGAUCAAUACAUCCCAAUAUCAGCCAGAGAUCAACACAUCCCAAUAUCAGCCAGAGAUCAAUACAUCCCAAUAUCAGCCAGAGAUCAACACAUCCCAAUAUCAUCCAGAGAUCAACACAUCCCAAUAUCAGCCAGAGAUCAAUACAUCCUAAUAUCAGCCAGAGAUCAAUACAUCCCAAUAUCAGCCAGAGAUCAAUACAUCCUAAUAUCAGCCAGAGAUCAAUACAUCCCAAUAUCAGCCAGAGAUCAAUACAUCCUAAUAUCAGCUAGAGAUCAACAGAUCAACAUAUCAGCCAGAGAUCAAUACAUCCCAAUAUCAGCCAGAGAUCAAUAUAUCCCAAUAUCAGCCAGAGAUCAACACAUCCCAAUAUCAGCCAGAGAUCAAUAUAUCCCAAUAUCAGCUAGAGAUCAAUACAUCCUAAUAUCAGCUAGAGAUCAACAGAUCAACAUAUCAGCCAGAGAUCAAUACAUCCCAAUAUUAGCCAGAGAUCAAUAUAUCCCAAUAUCAGCUAGAGAUCAAUACAUCCUAAUAUCAGCUAGAGAUCAAUAUAUCCUAAUAUCAGCCAGAGAUCAACACAUCCUAAUAUCAGCUAGAGAUCAAUAUAUCUCAAUAUCAGCCAGAGAUCAAUACAUCCCAAUAUCAGCCAGAGAUCAAUAUAUCCCAAUAUCAGCCAGAGAUCAAUACAUCCCAAUAUCAGCCAGAGAUCAAUACAUCCCAAUAUCAGCCAGAGAUCAACACAUCCCAAUAUCAGCCAGAGAUCAAUACAUCCCAAUAUCAGCCAGAGAUCAACACAUCCCAAUAUCAGCCAGAGAUCAAUACAUCCCAAUAUCAGCCAGAGAUCAAUACAUCCCAAUAUCAGCCAGAGAUCAAUACAUCCCAAUAUCAGCCAGAGAUCAAUACAUCCUAAUAUCAGCCAGAGAUCAAUACAUCCCAGUAUCAGCUAGAGAUCAACACAUCCCAAUAUCAGCCAGAGAUCAACACAUCCCAAUAUCAGCCAGAGAUCAACACAUCCCAAUAUCAGCCAGAGAUCAACACAUCCCAACCAGACACAAAAAUGUAACUUUUAUUCACUCAAUAGAAAAGGCACAAGAUGCCUAA
This is a long non-coding RNA of Oncorhynchus mykiss (rainbow trout), 1713 nucleotides long. Lineage: Eukaryota; Metazoa; Chordata; Actinopteri; Salmoniformes; Salmonidae. The record is from Ensembl.